AUAAGAUUCAAAUUUGUAGAGAGAAAAAGAGAGAAAAUAUAUUAUUUUCUUGUUGUCCAAGAUUCAAGAAUUAGUUUCUAGAUUAAUUGAAAGAAGGUGCCCACACGCCCGUGUAGUCUUUUCGUUGGAGAAUACCAUAGAAGGCUUGAAGGUAAAAAGCAUCAAUAUUCUUGCAAUUAAAGAAGACGGAAGUUCGCAGAUCAGAGUUAAUUAAAGGUUGAUCAUUGAACUUAGGUAAAAGAUUCGAAUCCUUUAAUUUUGUUAUGACAUACACGUGAACAUCUAGACGAUAUUGCUUAUUAAAGUAAAGAAACUUUUAAUUUCUGAUUAAUUCUACUUCUGCAUUCCAACAGUUGAUCCCUACAAUGAACUGAAAGGAGGACUUCACCAAUUUCUACGCUUGCGCAAGUUCCCUGUGGCUUACAGAAAGCCCCCUCAUGCUUGUUCGGAGUCUGCCGGCUCCAACCAGGAUUAAAAGGGUGGAAAGAAUCAUUUCCAAAAAAUUUAGCCCAGUAUAAUGUUGCAGGCAAUACCUGCAGUUUCUAAUGUCUAACUCGACACAUUUUCUUACUCCCGGCUAACCAAAUGCACAUAGAAGUGGAGUUCAGUCGUUCCAAAGUCAUGAAUUCUGAUUUUGGGAUCAGGUACACCGCAAUAGAAACGGGACUUUGGAUAAGGCUUGCCCUUGAUUUGGUGACAACACAUUGCUGGACCUGAGAAUAGCUAGUCGAGUUCUAAAACGGAAAUAAUAAUGUGAUGAAAAUUUUGUUUGCAUAUCAUCUUUAGCGCCUGUAUAGUGUGUAAUCGAGGAUUUUUCCGUGUCAUAUUGUCAAUAAUCCAAGUAAUAUUGUAGGUACAGUACGUGAGCUCAAACAAAACAAGUUGGGUGACCAGCAACAUUUGUAACGACCGCGAAUAAAAUAUGGUAACAAAUUACAUCAUCCCACUUCAAGAAGGAAUGUAAUUUUCUGAAAGAAAAUC
Molecule: long non-coding RNA, 981 nt
Filed under: Olea europaea subsp. europaea
Lineage: Eukaryota; Viridiplantae; Streptophyta; Magnoliopsida; Lamiales; Oleaceae
Source: RNAcentral